RNAcentral lists this ribosomal RNA (761 nucleotides) under Prevotella melaninogenica. RNAcentral describes it as "bacterial SSU rRNA". It matches the Rfam family "Bacterial small subunit ribosomal RNA", at positions 28 to 776 of the family's 1533-position model. Lineage: Bacteria; Pseudomonadati; Bacteroidota; Bacteroidia; Bacteroidales; Prevotellaceae. The record is from RNAcentral.
GAUGAACGCUAGCUACAGGCUUAACACAUGCAAGUCGAGGGGAAACGGCAUUAAGUGCUUGCACUUUUUGGACGUCGACCGGCGCACGGGUGAGUAACGCGUAUCCAACCUUCCCAUGACUAAGGGAUAACCUGCCGAAAGGCAGACUAAUACCUUAUGGUCUUCACUGACGGCAUCAGAUGUGAAGUAAAGAUUUAUCGGUUAUGGAUGGGGAUGCGUCUGAUUAGCUUGUUGGCGGGGUAACGGCCCACCAAGGCAACGAUCAGUAGGGGUUCUGAGAGGAAGGUCCCCCACAUUGGAACUGAGACACGGUCCAAACUCCUACGGGAGGCAGCAGUGAGGAAUAUUGGUCAAUGGGCGAGAGCCUGAACCAGCCAAGUAGCGUGCAGGAAGACGGCCCUAUGGGUUGUAAACUGCUUUUGUAUGGGGAUAAAGUCAAUCACGUGUGAUUGUUUGCAGGUACCAUACGAAUAAGGACCGGCUAAUUCCGUGCCAGCAGCCGCGGUAAUACGGAAGGUCCGGGCGUUAUCCGGAUUUAUUGGGUUUAAAGGGAGCGUAGGCUGGAGAUUAAGUGUGUUGUGAAAUGUAGACGCUCAACGUCUGACUUGCAGCGCAUACUGGUUUCCUUGAGUACGCGCAACGUUGGCGGAAUUCGUCGUGUAGCGGUGAAAUGCUUAGAUAUGACGAAGAACUCCGAUUGCGAAGGCAGCUGACGGGAGCGCAACUGACGCUGAAGCUCGAAGGUGCGGGUAUCGAACAGG